UGGGGAAUAUUGCACAAUGGGCGCAAGCCUGAUGCAGCCAUGCCGCGUGUAUGAAGAAGGCCUUCGGGUUGUAAAGUACUUUCAGCGGGGAGGAAGGCGAUGUGGUAAUAACCGCGUCGAUUGACGUUACCCGCAGAAGAAGCACCGGCUAACUCCGUGCCAGCAGCCGCGGUAAUACGGAGGGUGCAAGCGUUAAUCGGAAUUACUGGGCGUAAAGCGCACGCAGGCGGUCUGUCAAGUCGGAUGUGAAAUCCCCGGGCUCAACCUGGGAACUGCAUCCGAAACUGGCAGGCUUGAGUCUCGUAGAGGGGGGUAGAAUUCCAGGUGUAGCGGUGAAAUGCGUAGAGAUCUGGAGGAAUACCGGUGGCGAAGGCGGCCCCCUGGACGAAGACUGACGCUCAGGUGCGAAAGCGUGGGGAGCAAACA
This 426-nucleotide ribosomal RNA is filed under the name uncultured bacterium. Its description in RNAcentral is "partial 16S ribosomal RNA". It matches the Rfam family "Bacterial small subunit ribosomal RNA", at positions 355 to 774 of the family's 1533-position model. The record is from RNAcentral.